AAAAGUGAUUCCGAACAAAUCAGACAGGAGCCGGGUUCCGCCGGUAACAGCCGUUUCCCCCGUUCUCCGGUGAGUCACUGUCCUAAUAAAUCUAGCAGCCAGGGAACCAUCGGCAGGAGGGCGGCCCCAGUUGCACGAACGCACGCACCCACCCCACGCACGCGGGCGGGUGAAAUCUAGGACGGAAUCCGUUCCAGUCCCCGUCGAUCACGCCCCGAGAGGCGGAAGAGCUUUCGUGGCGAGGAAUCCGCCGGAGGCUCCCCGAUUUGCAUGUCCGGGGCUCGCUGGAAUCGGAAUGCACUGGUGCCCCGGAAUCGGGCCGCGGGCGCGCUCCUUCCUGCGUGACUACGACGCGCUCCAGUCCCUCGCCCUCGCCCUCAUAUACCUCCAGAUUGGUUGUGCGCUGAUUGGAUCGCUUGGUGCGCUGUUCAAUGGGGUUCUUGUGAUAAACCUUGUGAUAGGGCUAUUUGCUGUUGUUGCGAUUGAAAGUAGUAGCCAAAGACUUGGCCGGACUUAUGCUGUCCUGCUCUUCUUUGCUAUCGUCCUUGACGUUGCAUGGUUUAUACUCUUCUCACAUGCUAUAUGGAAUAGUACCCCUGAUGAGAAGUAUGGUCAACUUUUUGUCUUCUCACUAAGACUUGCAUUGUGGAUGCAAACUAUUGGGUUUUCAGUGAGGUUUUUGUCUUCAUUUAUAUGGAUCCAGAUGUACAGGUUAGGGGUCUCAUCAAGCACGCCAACAUAUUAUGAAGCAAAUGAUGCAAGAAAUAGUUUCUUGAGCCCCAGAUCUAAUUCAGUUAGACGGGGUUCAAUGGCUGAUGAUAUAUUGGGUGGUUCAAUUUACGAUCCUUCUUACUACUCUUCUCUCUUCGAAGAUGUUCGAAAUAAUGCAUGCAAUCAUCAGAAAACUCGCAGCGCCAUGCAGUCCGGUACCUCCUCGUGCACCAGCGGUUUUUGCUAUGGCGUCUGCAUGUCCAUGUCGCGGCAAUGGAAGCACUACGUCGGGGCAACGCCUCCCUGCGAGCUCGCUCACACGCCACUCAAACUCGCCGUUGUCGCGCAAGGAGUUGAGCACGACAAGCCCGCCCACGAGCUUCUUGUUAAGGAAGAUCUGGGGCAUGUGGGUGGCGUUGCCGACCUUAGACGUGAGACUGGCAUUGCGCUUCGGGAACAUGCCGAGGCAAUGCUUGGUACCAAAAUCAGGAGAGGUCAACCUGCCAUAUGCAUGAAUAGGCAGGCCAGGAAAUCCUUGCACGGCGGUGUGCUCUUACCAAUCAGCGAGCUCCUUUCAUGCACGUCUGGAGACAUCUAGACUCACCCAUCAGGGUGAUAAACAAAGUGGUAGUAAUGAUAGCGGGUCAACAUCUGCAGGCCAAUCUCCACGGCUUAAAUCUUUUGGUGGAGGCUGGACUAAGAAAGCCGCUGAACUCUUGCUCAGUGGAGACAAGUUGAAGACGGAACUUAUUUUUGCCAACCUGACUACCCGAGCACUCUUUGUUUGGUCCUCCUUGAGCCAGUAACUCUUGAUUUAACAUAGAGAUUUGUACAGUGCAAAUGUUCAUGCCUCGGAACAGCGGCUCCCCAGUAAAUCAAGAGCAGCAAGAUAGUACAACGAUGAUGGCCUGUGUUGCUACGCAAUUCUUGAGCUUGUGCAGGAGUUUCGGUGCCAAUCUGGCAGCUCUUUUUUGCCUGGAGUACACUUUGAGUUGGAUUGUUUCACAGGGGCAGACGCUGACUAGUUGGCAACAUGUGGAAUACUGCUAGUAUUUUGCUGCCCAGUAUGGUCCAUUUUCCAGACGUGUAUGGCCUGUUUCUCUUGGUUGUCACGGAAAUGAGGCUGAUAGUUGCCUACUCCGCUAUAGUUAAAUCGGCCAUCCCCAACCGGAUCGUUCGGUUGGUGUUGUCAACAUCACUCACUUUUUUGACAAUGCACAUCUUUGGAGCAACUCCAACGCGC
Triticum aestivum (bread wheat) is the source of this 1954-nucleotide RNA transcript. RefSeq lists it as uncharacterized. NCBI's taxonomy places the organism in Eukaryota, Viridiplantae, Streptophyta, Magnoliopsida, Poales, Poaceae. The transcript is spliced from 7 exons. The record is from RefSeq and is a predicted model, not a curated record.